ACGCACGCUGGCGGCAGGCCUAACACAUGCAAGUCGAGCGAGGACUUCGGUCCUAGCGGCGGACGGGUGAGUAACGCGUGGGAACGUGCCCUUUGCUUUGGAAUAGCCCUGGGAAACUGGGAGUAAUACCGGAUGAGCCCUUUGGGGGAAAGAUUUAUCGGCGAAGGAUCGGCCCGCGUUGGAUUAGGUAGUUGGUGGGGUAAUGGCCUACCAAGCCGACGAUCCAUAGCUGGUUUGAGAGGAUGAUCAGCCACACUGGGACUGAGACACGGCCCAGACUCCUACGGGAGGCAGCAGUGGGGAAUCUUAGACAAUGGGGGAAACCCUGAUCUAGCCAUGCCGCGUGAGCGAUGAAGGCCUUAGGGUUGUAAAGCUCUUUCAGCUGGGAAGAUAAUGACGGUACCAGCAGAAGAAGCCCCGGCUAACUCCGUG
RNAcentral lists this ribosomal RNA (432 nucleotides) under uncultured bacterium. Its description in RNAcentral is "partial 16S ribosomal RNA". It matches the Rfam family "Bacterial small subunit ribosomal RNA", at positions 29 to 507 of the family's 1533-position model. The record is from RNAcentral.